RNAcentral lists this long non-coding RNA (1262 nucleotides) under Helianthus annuus (common sunflower). The record is from RNAcentral. Lineage: Eukaryota; Viridiplantae; Streptophyta; Magnoliopsida; Asterales; Asteraceae.
CUUCACACGGAUCGCCCUUUCCAUUCCCUUCUCUCUCACAAUUCACAUCUCAUAAACUUCAUUAGACUCUCUCUCUUUCUCUCUCUCAGAUCUAGAUCUGGAGCAAACAUCAAUGAAAUUGAAAACACGCAGUGAUGAACACCGAUUUGAAGAAACCCUAACUAAAGGGACUUGACUUGCCUCAUGGUGGACACUUGUCUCAUGGAUUCAUGACACCCAAACGAAGGGUUUUGGGAACAUCCAUAUAUUUUGAAUCCAUAUAUUUUGGUUUUGUUACUUGUUUUUGAAUUGCAAUCUGGUCGAUUCUUUACUUUUUUGGGGGUACCCGUUCCUCAGAUGCAAGUCAAAAGAGUGCAAACUUGAAGUUCUUUUGUUUUCUUCUUCGUGUCUGACAAUGAAAUUGUUUCCGGAAUUCUGGGUUACAGUUUUGAUGUCUUGCAGAUUUAAAGAUUACAAACAGUCUACUAUGGUUUCUCGGUCUGCAAUUUGAGGAUAUUUUUAAAUUGGAUCCGCUUUAAAAGGGCAAUUUCCGGAGGAAGAACGACGAGAGACGGAGGCACAGACGCUGGUCGUCAGCGAUAAUAAAGGUUGAAGAAGUUAAAUCAAAUAUCUUUCCUUUAUUGGAUACAGCCCCUGAGCUGGUGCCAGUUCAAUAUGGUGGACUGAGCCGCGAAGGCGAACAAGAAUUCACCUCUGGUGACGCCGUUAUAGAAGAGCUUUUCAAGUCUGCAACUAAACAUGCCGUCGAUUUCCCUGUUACUGAGAUUGCAACUAGAUAUCUGGUUCCGGAGCUGGCUGGCAAACGUUUGACGCCUUUGGUAGCCUAUCGUUGCUUCUUUAUGUUGCCUUCAUAUAGAGAAUGUAUGAAUAUUGUUCUGUAAUCUAUAGAAUCCUUUCUUUAUGUUAUAACUUAAUUAACAAUUCAAUUUAUAUUCUGCCCAUUUGCAUGGAGAAAAGAUGAACACAAUGCUAAAUAGUAUGGCAGAAUUCUUGAUUAUUUAAAAGAACUUGGGAUUUGGGAAACUAUUGUAUGAGUUAAAUAGUUGCAUUUUAUGGUCUGAUGUAGCAAAGUUAAAUUUUGAGGUCUGGGUAACCAGUAAAAAACAAGUUUAAGUAGAAGUGACAACUUGAAUAUUGGUUUAAAAUAGUGCGUCUGAGGCAUGAGGCCUCUGAAGUCUGAAGUGUUGAUAGAAACGCUUCACCCUACUUGAAGUAGUAUUAACUAGAUUUUAUUUACGUGGCAUUUCAAAAAAAAAAAAAAA